AUGAGGAUUCAAAAAAACAGAAGAAGAGAGAUGGUCAGAUUUGGCUACAGGAAACUCAGUGUGGUAGCACCAUGGAAGGUGGAAGAAAGGGGGCAAGUCAGAGGGAAAGAGGCUGGUUCAGUUGGGAGGUCCCUGCAAGGAAGCAGUCCAGAAAAUGACGACCUGGAUAAAGGCAAGUCUUCCAAGAAUGCAGAGAAAAAGACAUCCCAACAUUAUUUUCCUCCAGGCCAGCCUGAAAUCAUUCUCAGGCAUGCAGAACAGUUAAAAAUGACACUUGUGUGUGAAAAAGGCAAAGCUGAUCUUGAGAACUUAGCCAUAUUGCCAACUCAGCAGCCCCAAUCCCCCAAGGCUUCACACCCCACUAGCACCUCAGCGCCCACCCCUCCCACAGGCAGGGACGAAGACAUCCCAGCAGCCAGAGAAACGCUCCGAAGCAGCAGCAGAGGGGGGAGAAGAACAUUACAGAGCUCAGCAUCUGUGGCACGCAGCUGCCAAGCAGCCUCCAUGUGCCCCUGCAGCUGUCGGCGUGAUGGCAACGGAAGAAGGAACAGAAGGACGAAAAGAACUUUCAGCAACAGGCUCCGAGUGCCAGGCAGGUACCUUAGGGCAUGUUCUUCAGACUUGGACUUUCAACUCUGGAACACUCAACUCUAUAUUUGUGUGAGGUCAGGUCAGUAUGAAGAGCACUGAGCCUGGAGCUGUGACCUGAGUCCUAAUCACAGCUCCGUUGAUAAACGAAUGGAGUCAGCACCUUGGGAGAACAUAAGAAAGCACGGUCAGGGUGGUGAAGAGUGUCAUGGUACCAACAGUGAUGGGGAGACCGACCACUCUAUAUGAGAGGAUGUUUCUACAAACUCUUGAAGAUUGGCCGCGAUUUGUGUGUAAUUAUUAACCAAUCUCCUUUUAGUUCACUUUGGUGUAUUUUCAUCUUUUCAUUUGUGCUAAUAAUUCUAACAUUCAAAAAUAUAUCACAAACACAGGUUUAAGAUCACUGACUAAAUCAUGGAAGUGGAAGAGAACAAAGGGGACACUUAAGCAUGCAGAAAUUAAACCCCCGUGUCACUAACUCAGUACCUCUAACUUUGAAAUGUGAUCGUGUGGCCAUUUUCAGAGAUUCUUGUUAACAGUGAUGUUUACUGGCCACUAGAAAACUAAUCAGAGCCACUAUAGCAACUGAAAAGCCUUGGUUUAACUUUGUGCAAAUAAUACCAUACAAAUAGCUCCACUCGUGCCUAAUCACACUGUGCAUCACAAUCAGCAUCAUAUUUAUUGUAUCAGAUUAUUUUAUUCUUAUCUUUAUUAAAUUUUUCUGAGUUUUAACUAACUCAUGUGUGUGUGUAUGUUCAAAUAUAUAUAGCAGUAAAUAUAACAAACCUCUAUAUACAUACAUAUAAUAUAUAUUCAUAUAUAUUUUUAUGAUUAUUGAAAUAUAAAGAGAUAAGUAUCUAGAUACAUAGAAUCAUCUCUCUGUCUCUCUCCACAUAUGUGUGUGUGGGUGUCUGAACAAGAACGCACACACACAUACACACACACACACGUACACAAUGAGAGAGAAAGAGAGAAAUAGACACAAAGCACAAAAAACUGAUUGCCUAUGAGUUGUCAGCACCUCUUCUCUUCACAAAAAUAACCCAAAUUUUGGUGGGGAUGCUAAUAUGUCCAACUUUAAAAAAAUACAUUUGCAGCAUUGCUUGCAAAGAAGAGUGGCUAUAUAUCUAACUGUUGACCAACAAAGUAGUAGAACUUGUGGGCUUGGAGCUUCCAGAGGAGCAGGCUAAAAGUAGGGCUGAUGAGGCGGGCAAGCAUGCUUGCCCAUUGCCUUCCGGCUUCUCCCUGCUGGCAGCACUGACUCUACACUUGCUGAGGAUCAGCCAACUUGUGAUUCUGAAGUGACAAGUCCAUGCUAUGGAUGGCGAAGUGGAAAGGUUGAGGGAGGCUAGGUCUUUGCUCUCAUCAAGAUUUGCCAAACCAGCUUUGGAUUACUUGCCUCCAUACUUCUCAUAUAUGAGGAAAAUCAAACUCCUGCUCAGCUGGUAAAGAAUCCCCCUGCGAUGCAGGAGACCUGGGUUCGAUCCCUGGGUUGGGAAGAUUCCCUGGAGAAGGGAAAGACUACCCACUCCAGUAUUCUGGCCUGGAGAAUUCCAUGGACUUGUAUAGGCCAUGGGGUCACAAAGAGUCGGUCACGACUGAGUGACUUUGACUCUCAGUGUUUUACAGCCACUCUGGGAGUUUCUGUUUUCAGUAGUGAAAUAUAAUUCUUAACUGAUGCAAGAACAUUGAUCCUUACCCUCAAGGCAUGUAUAUUUUCACUGACAAAACCAGGUAGGUAUUCAUGUUUGACCUGAUUAAACAAGAACAUGGACACGUAUAUGACUGAGUGCUUUACAAAUAGCACAAGCUGUAAAUGCUCCAGUACUUCAGAAGAGAAGAGUAUGCACUGGAGCUUUUGAAAAACAUCUUCAAAUGGAAAGGACCUGCACUGGCCCUAACACACAAAGACAUGCUAAUAAUUAGAGAUUUAGGGAGUGCGUCCCAGGCAUAGAGAAUAGCAAUAAUUGAUACAAACUCCAAGGAGAAAAAAUAAAGAAAAGCACAGUUUGCUGACUGAUUGGGCC
Molecule: long non-coding RNA, 2615 nt
Filed under: Bos indicus x Bos taurus (hybrid cattle)
Lineage: Eukaryota; Metazoa; Chordata; Mammalia; Artiodactyla; Bovidae
Description: lncRNA (ENSBIXG00005004350.1)
Source: RNAcentral